GCAUCCAUGGAGCAGUAGUUAGCUCAUUCCUCUCCCACGUCUCCUACAAGAGAUUGUAAGGUCGUUAAGGAAAGACCCGGGUGCAAAUCCCGGUGGAUGCA
Non-coding RNA from Hypoxylon sp. FL1284, 101 nucleotides. Lineage: Eukaryota; Fungi; Ascomycota; Sordariomycetes; Xylariales; Hypoxylaceae. The record is from the annotation of a GenBank genome assembly.